UUUGCAGUGUGUCAAAGUUGAGUCGAUAAUGCGAUCAUCUUGUAUAAUGAUCGUGCAAUGGACUCAAUUUCGACUCGGCAAA
RNAcentral lists this microRNA precursor (82 nucleotides) under Drosophila simulans. Its description in RNAcentral is "microRNA dsi-mir-2583 precursor". Lineage: Eukaryota; Metazoa; Arthropoda; Insecta; Diptera; Drosophilidae. The record is from miRBase by way of RNAcentral.